RNAcentral lists this long non-coding RNA (786 nucleotides) under Mytilus galloprovincialis (Mediterranean mussel). The record is from RNAcentral. Lineage: Eukaryota; Metazoa; Mollusca; Bivalvia; Mytilida; Mytilidae.
UUAUUUUUCUCUAGUAAAUUUUAUACUGAGACUAUUAUACUAUUAGUUUUUUUAUAUAAAGAUAUGAAAAUAGUAAAAAACUUAUAUAUUUUUUUACCAACACAUUAGAAUACAUACACAUUUUAAGGUAAAGAUUGUAUGAAAUGUAAUCAAAACCCUAUGGGACUGACUUGAUAUCUAAAUGUUCCAAGGCUGAUCACUACUUUUUUGAUACAUAAAAUAGAGUGCAUUGAUAAUAACAUUCUAUACAUACUAUACAUGAACAUUUCCAGAAAUUUGUCGAUGUAAUAUAUGCUCAGAUAUUCAAGGCACAAAAUAAUGUUUCUCUUCAAUACAUAACUUUUGCAAGGUGCAAGAAUCUAAUAUCUGUUCCAAAAUGAUAAAUGUGUCAUUGUUAACCUUACCUUUAAACAUUGGAGUUAUCUUCCUUUGUCUAGAAUAGCUGUUAAAUCAACAACAACCAAUGCAAUAUUUAAAUUUACUUUCACUGAUAAAUUGAAGCAAUCUUUACCAUUCAGUACUUUCAAGCACUUUGAUUAAAAUAUAACAGUUAAGUUCAUUUACAUUUACCGGUAUAUACAUAUUUAGAUGCACCAUGUAACAGAAAGUGCAAUCAUCAUUUGGGAAAAAGGCAUUAUUCUUGCAGCGGCACUUUAUGGUCUAUGUCCUUGACCAUCUUUUAGCUGCACUUUUUAUACAACUACAAACUAUUUUGCAGUUGAAUAUUGGUUUCACGCCAUUAUCGUUGUUGUUAUUUGAAGACAUUUGGUUUUCACACAAUAGCCC